This 233-nucleotide unclassified non-coding RNA is filed under the name plant metagenome. RNAcentral describes it as "partial contains small subunit ribosomal RNA, internal transcribed spacer 1, and 5.8S ribosomal RNA". The record is from RNAcentral.
UUUCCGUAGGUGAACCUGCGGAAGGAUCAUUACUGAGUGAGGGCCCUCUGGGUCCAACCUCCCACCCGUGUUUAUUAUACCUUGUUGCUUCGGUGAGCCCGCCUCACGGCCGCCGGGGGGCAUCUGCCCCCGGGACCGCGCCCACCGAAGACACCUAGAACUCUGUAUGAAGAUUGCAGUCUGAGCAAAAACUAAAUAAGUUAAAACUUUCAACAACGGAUCUCUUGGUUCCG